This 75-nucleotide antisense RNA is filed under the name Actinacidiphila glaucinigra. RNAcentral's name for it is "Streptomyces glauciniger ASpks TB sRNA". It matches the Rfam family "ASpks TB sRNA". The record is from Rfam by way of RNAcentral. Lineage: Bacteria; Bacillati; Actinomycetota; Actinomycetes; Kitasatosporales; Streptomycetaceae.
CUUGAUCGACCCCAGCAGCAACGGCCGGUCCUCGGCACGCUCCUGCCCGUAGGUGGCCAGCAGCGCCUGCGCCUC